Helianthus annuus (common sunflower) is the source of this 2257-nucleotide long non-coding RNA. RefSeq lists it as uncharacterized. The transcript has 4 exons. Lineage: Eukaryota; Viridiplantae; Streptophyta; Magnoliopsida; Asterales; Asteraceae. The record is from RefSeq and is a predicted model, not a curated record.
UUUUACACAUUUAGAAAGAGAGACAGAGAGACAACGACCACAUUUACACAUUUAGAGAGAGACUGAGAGAACGACAUUAGAGAGAAACCGAUGAAAGAAGAGGAAGCCGAUAACCGCAACUCGAUGAAGGUGAAGAGGAACCCUAGCCGACAACCAGAUUGGCAGCGAUGGCGGCUAGGGUUCCAGUUUGGGGGUUUUGAAACCGAAUCGUGAAGGUGUUGAGGACGUCUGCAACCUUUAAGCACCAAGAAAUGAGGGCGACACAUAAGUGAGAGAGAAAGACGAUGGAAACCGUUUACGAUAGUGUACCUGGUCGCGAACGACGUCGCUUCUCACUUCCGAUGCAUACAUGACCGCCAAAAGAAAAAAACAGGGGCGAGAAGUGUAUUCUGGUGAAGUCUGACGAGUCUCCGGAAAAGAUCCGAUUUAGCAUGUGAAAAGGAAUGCAGCAGGGUGAGGACUACCAGUUGGUUAAGUUAAAGAUAAUUAACUUCAAGGUUUGUCUUCUGAUGUUACUUCCUUUUUUGAUGUUUAGCUUUUAAAAGUUGCUUUUCCAUGUUGCAAAGCAAGAAAGAACAAGUUGUGGUGGUUGAAAGACGCGGUCCUGAUGCUACGUGGUUAUUGAACGUUUAUCAUGCUCAUAGAUGGGGAAGGAUGUUGUUAAUUUGGUUGACUAGAAGCACCAGAAGAAGAAGAACGAGGUUGUGAUUUCUUCGGUGUGUGAAACGCUAAAAGUAGAUGAGGCAACAAAAGAGCAUGUUAGGCGGUUUAUGCCUAAAUUAACCGGUCUGGAUGUUGUUGGGAAGACGAGCAACUCUGGCUUGGACUUUAAAGCAGAAGUGGGACCUAUAGAUCAAACUUCUCAAACUUAGGAUCCAAAUAACAUUUUCAAACUAACAUCUGGUUAUGUCUUUAAUCAUGUGAGAAUCUUGAAAUUGUUAAUAAACUCAAUUGCAUCUUAUUGGUUACUAGCAUUACUGAGAUACCACAUGUCCACCUGAUUGAAAGGUAAAUUAUAUUGAGUCGUGUUUUAUGCUUUUAGUUUAUGUUAUUUGUUGUCAUUUUAAAAUCUGUCCAUGCAAAAUAAUUAGCUUUUAUAAACCUACAGCUAGCUUUUGUGACAUGAUUUGUAAUAUUCUUGAUUAAAGAAUAUUGUUACUCUAGGUUAAGGUUGACAUGGGUGAGCCAAUGUUGAUAAUUUCUCAGGCAAAAAGAGAACUUGCCAUGUGAAGUGAAGAAGGUUCUCAGCCAAAAAGAGAACUUGCCAUGUGAAGAAGGUAUGUUGUUAUCCAUUCCUUUUUGUGCACAAGCAUGAGACAUAAUACAAUUUAAAAUGUUAAACCGUAUACAAGCAUGAGACAUAAUAUAAUUUGUUAUUUAUUUAGGAAUAUGACGGUCUAUCACGGGUUAUUGUUUUUGGACGAUCAUUAGUGUUUAAGAAAGAAACUAUCUUACGAAAUUAACUCAAUCGAUGCUACUCAUGAAAACUGACUAAAUAUAAAUAUAAACAUAGCCCCCGCCGCAUCGCGGCGGGUUACAUUUCUAGUUACUAAAAAAAAGUAUAAAAGGUUGAUUAGAAAAAAAUAUUAGAUUUGUUAAAAGAUAUAAAUUAUUAAAGAAUAAAAAAAUAUGCACUUCAUUAACUUAAUAGAAAUAUUAUAAAAGUUUAACAUGUUGGUUAAAAAGAAAAGACACACAAAAUAAUCAGGAAACACCAUUUUGGUAAAUACUUUUGAAUGAACACUAUUUUGAUAAAUAUUUUUUCCACCAACACUAGUUUGGGAAAAAACUCAUUUUGUUUUUGAGAGGGCAAGAGAGAGAAAUUUAUGGGCAGGAGAGAGGAUAGAGAAUUGGUGUUUUUAUGGUUUGUGAAAGGAUCAUGAGAGAGAAAUGGUCUUAUUGGUUGGGCAAGCACACAUAUGAUACAAAACAUCAUCUAAAAACAUCCUUAUUGUGGAUACUCUAACAGAGGUGUACUCUCACAAUGUUGUUCCAUGACUUCUAUUCCACUAAACCAAUAAACAAAGGUAUGUUGUUCGUUACCAACUCCUAUUCAUUCUUCUUUUUCAUACAUGAUAACACUCAUUCUUUUUUUUUUUCACAAAUGAUAACACACGUUGAAGUUGAUGCCAUCUCGAAUUUACGAGUUCAUCACCGACAAUACAUUAUUCCGGUUGUUGUAUCAUAAGAAACAGUUUCAUUGUGCGAAAGAUAUUUACAUGUAACUAUUUCAAACACAAGGCCUCCGUUAACUCAA